RNAcentral lists this ribosomal RNA (771 nucleotides) under uncultured bacterium. RNAcentral's name for it is "bacterial SSU rRNA". It matches the Rfam family "Bacterial small subunit ribosomal RNA", at positions 8 to 796 of the family's 1533-position model. The record is from RNAcentral.
AGAGUUUGAUCAUGGCUCAGAACGAACGCUGGCGGCGUGCUUAACACAUGCAAGUCGAGUGCGCGUCCGUAGCAAUACGGAUGGCGCACGGCGCACGGGUGCGUAACACGUGGGUAACCUGCCCUUUGGUGGGGAAUAACUCCGCGAAAGCGGAGCUAAUUCCGCAUAAGAUCCGCAAGGAUGAAAGCCGCAAGGCGCCGAUGGAGGGGCCCGCGCCCGAUUAGCUUGUUGGUAGGGUAACGGCCUACCAAGGCUAUGAUCGGUAGCUGGUCUGAGAGGAUGGCCAGCCACACUGGAGCUGAGACACGGUCCAGACUCCUACGGGAGGCAGCAGUGGGGAAUCUUGCACAAUGGGCGAAAGCCUGAUGCAGCGACGCCGCGUGGGGGAUGAAGCUUCUCGGAGUGUAAACCCCUUUUCGAUCCGGACGAAACCCCGCAAGGGAUUGACGGUACGGAUAUAAGAAGCCCCGGCUAACUACGUGCCAGCAGCCGCGGUAAGACGUAGGGGGCCAGCGUUGUUCGGAAUUACUGGGUGUAAAGGGUUCGUAGGCGGUGCGGCAAGUUGGGAGUGAAAUCUCUGGGCUUAACCCAGAGGCUGCUUCCAAAACUGCUGUGCUUGAGUGUGGGAGAGGCGCGUGGAAUUGCAGGUGUAGCGGUGAAAUGCGUAGAUAUCUGCAGGAACACCCGUGGCGAAAGCGGCGCGCUGGACCACUACUGACGCUGAGGAACGAAAGCUAGGGGAGCAAACAGGAUUAGAUACCCUAGUAGUCC